RNAcentral lists this ribosomal RNA (410 nucleotides) under uncultured bacterium. RNAcentral's name for it is "bacterial SSU rRNA". It matches the Rfam family "Archaeal small subunit ribosomal RNA", at positions 335 to 747 of the family's 1478-position model. The record is from RNAcentral.
GCAGGCGAGAAAACUCCACAAUGCGCGUAAGCGUGAUGGGGGGAAUCUGAGCGGUUGACUUCGGUCAACCUUUUGCCAAGUGUAGCAGGCUUGGCGAAUAAGUGCUGGGCAAGACCGGUGGCAGCCGCCACGGUAAUACCGGCAGCACAAGUGGUGUCCACGAUUAUUGGGCUUAAAGCGCUCGUAGCUGGCCGAUGCCGUCUCAUGUGAAAUAUUGGCGCUCAACGCCAAUGCGUGCAUGAGAUACCCAUCGGCUUGGGAGCGGGUGAGGUCAGGAGUACUUACGGGGGAGGGGUAAAAUCCUGUAAUCCUGUAAGGACUAACGGUGGCGAAGGCGCCUGACUAGAACGCAUCCGACAGUGAGGAGCGAAGGCUAGGAGAACGAAUCGGAUUAGAUACCCCCGUAGUCC